This 777-nucleotide ribosomal RNA is filed under the name uncultured bacterium. RNAcentral's name for it is "bacterial SSU rRNA". It matches the Rfam family "Bacterial small subunit ribosomal RNA", at positions 105 to 896 of the family's 1533-position model. The record is from RNAcentral.
GGUGAGUAACACGUAGGUGACCUGCCCCGAAGUGUGGAAUAACAGUCCGAAAGGAUUGCUAAUACCGCAUGUGGUCUGUGAGGUUAGAGUCUUGCAGACUAAAGCAGCAAUGUGCUUCGGGAGGGGCCUGCGCCCCAUCAGCUAGUUGGUAGGGUAAUGGCCUACCAAGGCAACAACGGGUAGGGGGCCUGAGAGGGUGACCCCCCACAUUGGCACUGACACACGGGCCAAACUCCUACGGGAGGCAGCAGUGAGGAAUAUUGCUCAAUGAGCGAAAGCUAGAUGCAGCAACGCCGCGUGGACGAUGAAGGCCUUCGGGUCGUAAAGUCCUUUUCAGGGGGACGAGUGAGGACGGUACCUCUGGAAUAAGUCACGGCUAACUACGUGCCAGCAGCCGCGGUAAAACGUAGGUGGCGAGCGUUAUCCGGAUUCACUGGGCGUAAAGCGCCUGCAGGCGGUCUUGUAAGUGGGGUGUGAAAUCUCCUGUCUUAACUGCGAGGGGUCAUUCCAUACUGCGAGACUGGAGGGCAGAAGAGGGGAGUGGAAUUCCCGGUGUAGUGUUGAAAUGCGUAGAUAUCGGGAGGAACACCAGUGGCGAAGGCGACUCCCUGGUCUGCUCCUGACGCUAAGAGGCGAAAGCUAGGGGAGCGAACGGGAUUAGAAACCCUGGUAGUCCUAGCUAUAAACGAUGGAUACUAGGUGUUGGUGGUCCUAACCCCAUCAGUGCCGAAGCUAACGCGUUAAGUAUCCCGCCUGGAGACUACAGCCGCAAGGUUA